This is a non-coding RNA of Castor canadensis (American beaver), 2336 nucleotides long. NCBI's taxonomy places the organism in Eukaryota, Metazoa, Chordata, Mammalia, Rodentia, Castoridae. The record is from RefSeq and is a predicted model, not a curated record.
ACUGUUUGCAUAGUUUUACCUUUUCCAGAAUGUCAUGCUGUUGGAAUAAAAAUAUGUAGCUUUUUUUUUUAUUGUGGCUUCACUUAGUGAUAUUUAAGGUUCUUUCAUGCCUUUCAUGAUUUGAUAGCUCCUCUCUUUUUAGUGUUAAAUGACAUUCCAUUGUCUGGAUGCACCACAGUUUACCCACUUAACUACUGAAAGACAUUUUGGUUGCUUCCAAGUUUUGGCAGUUAUGAAUAAAGCUGCUAUAAACAAUGAUGAAUAGGUUUUUUGUGUAGUCAAAUCUUGAGUAGACUCAUUUGGGUAACUGCUUGAUUGUAUAGAAAGAUUAUGAUGUUUAACUAUAAAAAACUGCCAAACUGCAAAUUCCAAAGUGGUUACACCAUUUUCCAUUCCCAUCAGCCAUGAAAGAGAGUUUGUGUUUGCUCUACAUCCUCGUCAGCAUUUGGUGCUGUCAGUGUCACAGAUUUUAGGCAUCCUAACAGGUGUGCAGUAGUUUGUUAUUGUUUUAGUUUGUAUUUUUCUGAUGACAUAUGUUGUUGAGCAUCUUUUCAUCUGCUUAUUUGCCAUCUGUGCAUCAUCUUUCGUUGUGUCUGUUUAGGUCUUCAGCUCAUUUUAAAAACUGAGUUACUUUCCUGUUGUUGAGUUUUAAGAGUUCUUUGUACAUUUUGGAUAAGUCAUUUAUCACAUGUGUCGUUUGCAGAUUUUUCUCCUAAUCUGUGGCUUGUCUUCUCAUUUUCUUGAUGAGAUGAGUGUUUGGAGAGCUUCAGAAAAUCUUGCUGCUUAUUGGAGCAAACAUGCUGUUACAGAAGGAAAGAAUUGCUUAUCCAUUCUAUUUUGAGAAAUUACAUAAAUCCAAACCCAUGGUGCCACAUGCACAAGUUUUUUGGUGAUAAGAAUGAUGAUAGGUGGUACAGUGCCUGCCUUGCAAGUUGCGAGGCUGAGUUUGAAUCCCAAGACAGCCAAAAAUAAAAAAUGAUAUGACACGUGAUACAUAAUGCCUAAGCAGGGCUUUAUUAUGUUCCCAACAAUCAAAUAUACUAAUAUUUCUGCAGAGAAAUACAAAUAGUCUUAGUAGGUAGGAUAAAAACCAUAGAAAGCUGUCUGCCAAUUUAGAUAGGAGUUUGACACCAUAUGACUUGUGGCACCAAACACAAAGAGCCACUCCAAACAAGACUUUAUAGGUGAUGCCUAAGUUUUUAGUUUGAUAGUGUUUAGCAAAAUGGAGAAAGAGUAGGGUAGGAACCAGCUAUUUUUUGUCUGAUUUUGAUUUAAUGUUGAGAAAUUGGGGACAGGUAGGAAUUGAUAAUUUGGUUGGCUUUUUGUUUGACUUCUGUGAAGAAGUCACAGCUAGAGAAAUAAAUUUGGGGAUCAGCAUAAGAGAGUGUCCACCAAAGGUUAGAAAAGAAUACGAUUCAGGAGAGAGUUUACAUACAGAAGAGAACAUUCCUUCACUUCAUACAAAAACCACAACAUCAGGCCAUUAGGACUCUUAACAACUAAUUUAUUUUAAAAUAGACAAACUAUUAAUUGUAGAAAAAAGAAACAGCAAUUUUAAAUGUAGUUUUAACUAGUACAAAAAAGCAAUAAAGCAGUAUCAGAAGCCUUAUUUAAGAAAUCUCAAUACACGAUCUCUGAAAUUCCUAAAAUUCUGUCACUACUUCUAAUGUGAACUUAUUAGUGAAAGACCCAGCAACAUGGUAUGCCCUUGACCUAAAAAUGAGCUGAUCUGUAUGAUAUUCAUGCAAAAAGUAAGUGAAGAAAUGGGGUAAAGCUUUCUAGUGUCACUGUUACCAAGAUAACUGUCAAAAUGAUAAGUCUGAAACUUAAUUGAGCACAAAAUAAAAUUGUUUUCGCAAAUAAAACUAGAUUUCUUUUGAAAAAGAACUCUGUGAGUAUAGACAAAGUGAUUUUUCUAAAUGCUAACUGAUGUUAUCUUAAAUACCACCUAUUUUAAAUUAUGGCAUCUCUAAAUAAGUUAAUCACACAAGAUAGUUUAAAUACACCUUUAGGUGUGGGGGAAGGGGAAGCGCCUCUUUUUUCUAAUGCACCUAUUUUAACUGGAAGCUUUUGCACAAAGUCAGAUAGAAACAUUAAUGUCUAACUUACAAAGACCUUUGACUACUUGCAAUCUCAGUCUAGAAAUAUUGUUGCUUUGAAUGUGCCAGUGUUAGACCAUACUGACUUUAAAAAAGUAGACGAUAAAUAGAUAAUUGCCAGUUGAAAAGAUACAUGGAAGACAUAUGCCAUUCUAGAGAAAACACAAACCUUCCCAAAUUUAGGAGGGCGGAAUCACUGUUGAGAUGCAAUUAGACAAAGCUCUUAAAAAAAAAAAA